Molecule: long non-coding RNA, 3388 nt
Filed under: Callithrix jacchus (white-tufted-ear marmoset)
Lineage: Eukaryota; Metazoa; Chordata; Mammalia; Primates; Cebidae
Description: lncRNA (ENSCJAG00000071166.1)
Source: RNAcentral
CAAGGGUGGCUGGAGGCUGCCUGAAGUCUGGCUCAGCCCAGGGGAAAGGGAUGAGCAGGGCCUCACCAGGACAUGGAGGGAGGAUCCCCUGUGAUCCAGAGAAGGCCAUAGGGUACUUACCCCCACCUGUGCCAAUCCCCCUGAAAGAUUUUCCCCACGCACAGUAAAAGGAAAGGCUCUCAAAGCAACCCGGGGGACCACAGCAGGGGUGAUGGGAACCCUUUCUAGGGCGGUUGUCUGCUGUCUUCAUAGGCAGGAAGCCACUUCCUGUGGCCCCAACGGUGCCCUGUGAAAAGCCAGGCCCUGGCCCAGCAGCCAAGAGGGCCAGGAUGGGUUCCCCCAGACCCAUUGUCCUAAGAGCAGAUUUGUGUUUUUCAGAGCAACUCUUCACAGCUUCUCCUCUUUCCUAGGUGACAGUGACAGCCAGCGAUGGGCAGGCAGCUUACUCCCAGCCUGGCCUGAGUCUGUGGCCCCAGCGUGAGAUUACUGCAGUGAGUUCUGACCUCAGCAUUGCCAUGGGGAUGCUCGGAUGCCAGGUUGCCAGCAGCAGUACCUUUUCACCCGGGGGAGUGGGAGGGAACCGUGGCUGAUGCUGACUGCCUAUGAUGUGGCCUGCUCUUGCCUGCUGGGGCUGUUUGUCCCCAGACAUAUGUUCCAGAUCUCAGCUAAGUGGGGUGGGCCAGGGGACUCACUCAGGACCUGCGGGCUCUAUUGUGUGUCUGUGUGUUUGGGGUGUGGCGAGAGGUGUUUAUUAGACCUCAUGGGGAGCCUCAUUUUCAUGCCUCCCUGGGCUGACCUGGGCUGCUGAUCACGUGCUCCUAAUGGGCCUCAGAUUGACAUUUGCAGCAACCUGGUCUCCAUAGCAACCAGCUGUGACAUCACAAAGAACCCACAGAGUGGAGGAAGCUUAAAUGCCUGUUUGGGGGAGACAGAGCCUUUGGUCCCUCUCCUUAGGCCCCUCCUGUGAUAGUCGAAGAGGCCUAGGAACGCUGAGAGAGCCAUGGCCUCCGCUUCUCUGGAGCCUGCUUAUCUUGAGAGAGCAUGACAGCCUCAGCAGAAUGGUGUCCAAGACGCAGGGGAGAGAAAGAUUGAUUUGGCCCGGUGGGACGGUCCAGCAAAGCUUCCCAGAGCAGAUGAAGAAACCAAGUUGCCCAAGAUCACACAGCAAGAGGAGGCUCCGGCUCAAGCGCUUACUGCAAGUGCAGGUGAACUUGGGCAAGUGAUUUAUCUUGUCUGUAAGGACAAUGACAGUGCUUCAGAGUAUUUUUGGGAUUAGCGGAGUCAAUCGAUGCAUUUCACCACUGCAGUGAGCAAAUGCUCAUCAAUGUAUGCUUGAUCAAGGUUAACUAUUGUUUAUUACGGUCAUAAGUCACCUAACCUCUGAGCCUUAGUAUUCUUGGCUACCAAAUGGAGGUAAUGAUACUUCCUGAACAGAGCUGUUGGGAAGAUAAAAUGAGAUAAUGUGCCCAAGUCCUAUCCUGGCACCUGGCUCCCCACAUGUUCACUCCUUCCCCCUGCGAUGCUCCCUCCCGUCAAAUUUACGCUUCUAGCAUAAAUGGCACGCCAGUCUAAGAAAAGCACCACUUGUGAACUUGAGCGCUUAUAGGCGCGAGCUGAGGAAGCAUAAAGCGACUUCCCUCUCCCACCUGGUGAGAGAGCCUCCACGGGCUCUGGGGUAAAAUGGUCGAGUGCUGAGUGGGUGUUCUUGGUGCUGGAGGGAUCCUGCUAGACCCAGUUCCAGGAUUCUCCAUGGGGCCUGGAGGUGGAUUCUCCAGGGGGGCCAUUAGCUAACGGGGCAGAGGCAGCCAGUCCUGGCUGUCAGUCUCGGCAGGGCAGUUGGGGCACUUCCACAGGGAGAUGUCUUUGGUUGGGUUGACCAGACGUAGAGCAGAAUGUGCUGGGAUACAGGGCAGGGACAACUUCCCCUGAAGACUGAGACAGACUUAAGAUUCCUUCUCUCUGUCUUUUUUAAACAAACCACAUUUUUUUUUUUGAGACAGAGUCUCACUCUGUCGCCCAAGCUGGGGUGCAAUGGUGCAAUCUCGGCUCGCUGUAACCUCCGCCUCCCGGGUUCAAGUGAUCCUCCUACAACAGCUUCCUGAGUAGCCGGCAUUACAGGCGCGCACCAGCACGCCCAGCUCAUUUUUUUUUUUUUUUUUUUUUGAGACAGAGUCUUGUGUUUUGUCUUUUUUUAAUAGAGUCUCACUUCAUCACUCAGGCUGGAGUGCUGUGGCACAGUCUUGGCUCACUGCAACCUUCGCCUCCUGGGUUCAAGCAAUUCUCCUGCCUCAGCCUCCCAAAUAGGUGGGAUUACAGGCACACACCACCACACCCAGAUAAUUUUUUUGUGUGUUAUUAGUAGAGAUGGGGUUUCACCAUGUUGGCCAGGCUGGUCUCGAACUCCUGACCUCAGGUGAUCCACCCACCUUGGCCUCCCAAAGUGCUGAGAUUACAGUCAGGAGCCACCUUGCCAAGCCAAUUUUUGUAUUUUUAGCAGAGAUGGGGUUUCACCAUGUUGGCCAGGCUGGUCUUGAACUCUUGACCUCAGGUGAUCUGCCUGCCGCUCUUGCACUCUUAGUCUCAAGCAGUCCUCCCAUCUUAGCCUUCCAAAACACUGGAACUAUAGGCAUGAGCCAGUAGGUCUGGGCAUUAAACAAGCCACAAAUUAAUGAGCACUUAUUACGUUCCAGGCACUAUGCCAAGCAGUUUACAUGGAUUCCAGCCACUACCGUCUGGGUAGCCAGCCUUAGGCAAAUGCUAAUGUCUCUAAGCCUCAGUCUCCUCCCUUGUGAAAUGGGCUUUGGGAUGGUGUCUACUUCAUAGGGCUGUCGUGAAAAGUAAAUGAGCGCAUGCAUUAGUGGUCUUACUAAAUGCUAGCUGGAUGUUGGUGUUCCAUCUAGACAUUCACCCGUUUGAGCCUCACAACAAUCUUCACUUAUUUGCAUGAGAAAAAAAUUCGGAGAGGUUAAAUCAGUGGUUCCUAGGUGCUGACCUGACCACAUACAAACGACAUGGAGAGCAUGAGAGAAACCAGGGUCCUUGCGGAGGAUGGUUCCCUGAGUGAGCCUGGCAGGGGCCCCGAUGAUGCAGGUUUCUCAGGCCUGCAGCAUCCCCCGUGAUUUGGAAGUGGGGAGCCCUGCUGAGUUAGGUGAUUUGGCAGAGGCCCCACUGCCGGUAGAGAUAGAGGUGGGAUUUGAAUGUUCAGGCAGGACCCUAAAUCACCAUUAUUUACUCUGAAGAGCAUGCCCCUGGUGGGCCUGCCCUGACCUGCUCUCUGCCACUUCCUAGGGCUGGAGGAUUCUGGCCUGGCCGAAUCUCUGAGGAGGAGGGCUGGGUGGAGCUCUCAUGAGCAGGUUCACUCAAGCAGCCAUUUUCAGGUCACCUAGUC